CACGUAACCUCGCCUCCGGGCGAAGGAACACCAACCCUUUGUUGUCCGACCGCGUUGCCUCCGGGGCGACCCUGACCCUCGGGUCUUGGGGACCCCGGUGGACACCUAAACUCUGCGUAACUUUGUAGUCCGAGUAAACAGUUAAUAAGUU
This 151-nucleotide unclassified non-coding RNA is filed under the name uncultured Toxicocladosporium. RNAcentral describes it as "sequence contains ITS1". The record is from RNAcentral. Lineage: Eukaryota; Fungi; Ascomycota; Dothideomycetes; Capnodiales.